RNAcentral lists this ribosomal RNA (500 nucleotides) under uncultured bacterium. RNAcentral describes it as "partial 16S ribosomal RNA". It matches the Rfam family "Bacterial small subunit ribosomal RNA", at positions 30 to 523 of the family's 1533-position model. The record is from RNAcentral.
AUUGAACGCUGGCGGAAUGCUUUACACAUGCAAGUCGAACGGCAGCACGGACUUCGGUCUGGUGGCGAGUGGCGAACGGGUGAGUAAUGUAUCGGAACGUGCCCAGUCGUGGGGGAUCACGUAGUGAAAAUUACGCUAAUACCGCAUACGAUCUAUGGAUGAAAGCGGGGAAUCGCAAGACCCCGCGCGACUGGAGCGGCCGAUAGCAGAUUAGGUAGUUGGUGGGGUAAAGGCCCACCAAGCCAACGAUCUGUAGCUGGUCUGAGAGGACGACCAGCCACACUGGAACUGAGACACGGUCCAGACUCCUACGGGAGGCAGCAGUGGGGAAUUUUGGACAAUGGGCGAAAGCCUGAUCCAGCCAUUCCGCGUGCAGGAUGAAGGCCCUCGGGUUGUAAACUGCUUUUGUACAGAACGAAAAGGUUUCUACUAAUACUAGGAGCUCAUGACGGUACUGUAAGAAUAAGCACCGGCUAACUACGUGCCAGCAGCCGCGGUAA